AUUGAACGCUGGCGGCAUGCUUUACACAUGCAAGUCGAACGGCAGCGCGGGCUUCGGCCUGGCGGCGAGUGGCGAACGGGUGAGUAAUGCAUCGGAACGUGCCCAGUAGUGGGGGAUAGCCCGGCGAAAGCCGGAUUAAUACCGCAUACGACCUGAGGGUGAAAGCGGGGGACCGAAAGGCCUCGCGCUAUUGGAGCGGCCGAUGUCGGAUUAGCUAGUUGGUGGGGUAAAGGCUUACCAAGGCGACGAUCCGUAGCUGGUCUGAGAAGACGACCAGCCACACUGGGACUGAGACACGGCCCAGACUCCUACGGGAGGCAGCAGUGGGGAAUUUUGGACAAUGGGGGCAACCCUGAUCCAGCCAUGCCGCGUGCGGGAAGAAGGCCUUCGGGUUGUAAACCGCUUUUGUUCGGGAAGAAAUCCUCUGGGCUAAUACCCCGGGGGGAUGACGGUACCGGAAGAAUAAGCACCGGCUAACUACGU
RNAcentral lists this ribosomal RNA (483 nucleotides) under uncultured bacterium. RNAcentral's name for it is "partial 16S ribosomal RNA". It matches the Rfam family "Bacterial small subunit ribosomal RNA", at positions 29 to 506 of the family's 1533-position model. The record is from RNAcentral.